GGCGGCGGUGCAGGGGGAGGUGUUGGUGGUGGCAUAGGAGGUGGUGGAGGUGUAGGUGGAGGCGCUGGAAGAGGUGCAGGUAGAGGCUCUGGUGGUGGUGCAGGUGGAGGCUCUGGUGGUGGUGGUGGUGGAGGUGGUGCAGGUGGAGGCGCUGAUGGUGGUUUUUGAAUUAAGACAUUAUUAUACUUAUACUAUCAUGCACUAUAUUCUUCAUUCUUAAAGUAAGUAUGUACCUUAUAUUAAACUGUUGAUGAAAAAUAAAGGCAAUUUCUCUUUAAUGCUCUAUAGGCUUUCAACCCGAGUUAACAUGAUACUAUCACUUGAACAAAGAUAAUCCCCAUUAAUGGUGAGACAAGUAUAUGUUUGUUCACAUAUUUUUAAUGACAAAAGUGUAAUUUUAUACAAUAAAAAAGAUAUGUGUCAUUGAAAGUUCUAUUUUUCUUUGUUUUUUAAAGUAUUUGUCUCUCCAUUAAUAGAGAAGAUCCUAACUCUUAUCAAUUACAGCAAAAAAAUCAAAGAUAGCACACUUCCCUCUCCGAUGAGUAUAUCUCUCAUUUCCUC
RNAcentral lists this long non-coding RNA (561 nucleotides) under Lupinus angustifolius (narrow-leaved blue lupine). RNAcentral describes it as "long non-coding RNA (LANG_LNC001374)". Lineage: Eukaryota; Viridiplantae; Streptophyta; Magnoliopsida; Fabales; Fabaceae. The record is from RNAcentral.